UUAAAUUGAAGAGUUUGAUCAUGGCUCAGAUUGAACGCUGGCGGCAGGCCUAACACAUGCAAGUCGAACGGUAACAGGAAGCAGCUUGCUGCUUCGCUGACGAGUGGCGGACGGGUGAGUAAUGUCUGGGAAACUGCCUGAUGGAGGGGGAUAACUACUGGAAACGGUAGCUAAUACCGCAUAACGUCGCAAGACCAAAGAGGGGGACCUUCGGGCCUCUUGCCAUCGGAUGUGCCCAGAUGGGAUUAGCUUGUUGGUGGGGUAACGGCUCACCAAGGCGACGAUCCCUAGCUGGUCUGAGAGGAUGACCAGCCACACUGGAACUGAGACACGGUCCAGACUCCUACGGGAGGCAGCAGUGGGGAAUAUUGCACAAUGGGCGCAAGCCUGAUGCAGCCAUGCCGCGUGUAUGAAGAAGGCCUUCGGGUUGUAAAGUACUUUCAGCGGGGAGGAAGGGAGUAAAGUUAAUACCUUUGCUCAUUGACGUUACCCGCAGAAGAAGCACCGGCUAACUCCGUGCCAGCAGCCGCGGUAAUACGGAGGGUGCAAGCGUUAAUCGGAAUUACUGGGCGUAAAGCGCACGCAGGCGGUUUGUUAAGUCAGAUGUGAAAUCCCCGGGCUCAACCUGGGAACUGCAUCUGAUACUGGCAAGCUUGAGUCUCGUAGAGGGGGGUAGAAUUCCAGGUGUAGCGGUGAAAUGCGUAGAGAUCUGGAGGAAUACCGGUGGCGAAGGCGGCCCCCUGGACGAAGACUGACGCUCAGGUGCGAAAGCGUGGGGAGCAAACAGGAUUAGAUACCCUGGUAGUCCACGCCGUAAACGAUGUCGACUUGGAGGUUGUGCCCUUGAGGCGUGGCUUCCGGAGCUAACGCGUUAAGUCGACCGCCUGGGGAGUACGGCCGCAAGGUUAAAACUCAAAUGAAUUGACGGGGGCCCGCACAAGCGGUGGAGCAUGUGGUUUAAUUCGAUGCAACGCGAAGAACCUUACCUGGUCUUGACAUCCACGGAAGUUUUCAGAGAUGAGAAUGUGCCUUCGGGAACCGUGAGACAGGUGCUGCAUGGCUGUCGUCAGCUCGUGUUGUGAAAUGUUGGGUUAAGUCCCGCAACGAGCGCAACCCUUAUCCUUUGUUGCCAGCGGUCCGGCCGGGAACUCAAAGGAGACUGCCAGUGAUAAACUGGAGGAAGGUGGGGAUGACGUCAAGUCAUCAUGGCCCUUACGACCAGGGCUACACACGUGCUACAAUGGCGCAUACAAAGAGAAGCGACCUCGCGAGAGCAAGCGGACCUCAUAAAGUGCGUCGUAGUCCGGAUUGGAGUCUGCAACUCGACUCCAUGAAGUCGGAAUCGCUAGUAAUCGUGGAUCAGAAUGCCACGGUGAAUACGUUCCCGGGCCUUGUACACACCGCCCGUCACACCAUGGGAGUGGGUUGCAAAAGAAGUAGGUAGCUUAACCUUCGGGAGGGCGCUUACCACUUUGUGAUUCAUGACUGGGGUGAAGUCGUAACAAGGUAACCGUAGGGGAACCUGCGGUUGGAUCACCUCCUUA
Molecule: ribosomal RNA, 1544 nt
Filed under: Escherichia coli O104:H4 str. 2009EL-2050
Lineage: Bacteria; Pseudomonadati; Pseudomonadota; Gammaproteobacteria; Enterobacterales; Enterobacteriaceae
Description: 16S ribosomal RNA
Rfam family: Bacterial small subunit ribosomal RNA
Source: RNAcentral